This 72-nucleotide transfer RNA is filed under the name Cajanus cajan (pigeon pea). RNAcentral describes it as "tRNA gene-KK1_019916". Lineage: Eukaryota; Viridiplantae; Streptophyta; Magnoliopsida; Fabales; Fabaceae. The record is from RNAcentral.
GGGGCAUUAUGAGAAAUGAACUCGGAGCCUCUCGAACACUAAGCGAGAAUCAUACCACUAGACCAAAUGUCC